RNAcentral lists this ribosomal RNA (490 nucleotides) under uncultured bacterium. RNAcentral describes it as "partial 16S ribosomal RNA". It matches the Rfam family "Bacterial small subunit ribosomal RNA", at positions 30 to 507 of the family's 1533-position model. The record is from RNAcentral.
AUUGAACGCUGGCGGCAGGCCUAACACAUGCAAGUCGAACGGUAACAGGAGGCAGCUUGCUGCUUUGCUGACGAGUGGGGGACGGGUGAGUAAUGUCUGGGAAACUGCCUGAUGGAGGGGGAUAACUACUGGAAACGGUAGCUAAUACCGCAUAACGUCGCAAGACCAAAGAGGGGGACCUUCGGGCCUCUUGCCAUCGGAUGUGCCCAGAUGGGAUUAGCUAGUAGGUGGGGUAACGGCUCACCUAGGCGACGAUCCCUAGCUGGUCUGAGAGGAUGACCAGCCACACUGGAACUGAGACACGGUCCAGACUCCUACGGGAGGCAGCAGUGGGGAAUAUUGCACAAUGGGCGCAAGCCUGAUGCAGCCAUGCCGCGUGUAUGAAGAAGGCCUUCGGGUUGUAAAGUACUUUCAGCGGGGAGGAAGGGAGUAAAGUUAAUACCUUUGCUCAUUGACGUUACCCGCAGAAGAAGCACCGGCUAACUCCGUG